UCAAGAGUUCUGACAUUUUCUCUUCAUCUGCUGCCUAAGCCGAUAGGUACUAAAAUGUUCAAGAUAGAGGUAUAGAUUCUUUGAACACAGUAGUGGUCCAUCUCUCUAAAAAAUUAUCCUUCAUGUUUCCUCCUUUUGUUUUCUGCUUGGGAGAAAAUUAAUGGACUUUACAUAGCUAUAGAAUUAUUAAAACUAUGAACUAUGAUUUACCCUUAAAAUAUAUCUGAAAUCAGAUACUUUUGAUGAUUCUGGACCAACAUUGUCCAAAAAAAAUGUUUUGUGAUCAUGGAAAUGUUCUAUAAUUACUCUAUAUAAUAAAGAACAACUAGAUACCUGUGGCUGUUAAUACUAGAAAUGUGACUAGUGCCAGCAGGGAAAUGAAUUUGUAUCUGUGUUAAAUUUAAAUUCUUUGUAUUUAAAUAGCCACAUGUGGCCAUUGGAUACAUAGUGGGAAGUAUAGCCUAGAUCAUUUCAGCUUCCCUUUAUUGGAGAGGUUAGUAUGAUAUACUUAUCAGUAUUAGUCUACCUCCAACCUCCACCAUCUUUAUGCUACUUUCCAUUGUUUCUAUCAUGAUCCUUUACUUCUCUUGGAACAGGUAGAACCAGAACUGCUCUUGUUUUCUGGAAAGUAUCACUUUUUGUCAUCUCUCUCUCUCUCUCUUUUUUCUCUCUCUCUUGCUUUCUCUUCCUCUUUCUUUCUCUUUUCUCUUCCUCUCUCUCUCUCUCUCUCUCUCUCUCUCUCUCUCUCUCUCUCUAUUUCUCUUUCUCUCUGUCUCACUGUCUGUCUCUCUGUGCCAAUUAUGCAAGACUCAUUAAUCAACUUAGCCUAAAACUGAGAUCAAUGUAGAAUGUGAAAAUAAAUAAAAGGCAACAUUUGUUUUUUCACUCUAUGUACCAGCUAUAUAAUACUUCUAUAUAUUAACUCACUUCUUAUAUUAGCUCUUCUGUCACUGCAGCCCUGUGAAAUCUAUGCAUAUGAUAUAAUAAUAUCUAUUUUAUGGAUCAGGAGAUUAAGGCAGAGGACACAGGUUAGUAUUUGCUAGAAGUGGGAUUUGAGGUCAAACAUUUGAUGAUAAAACUUACUCUCUGACAACAUUGCAAUGCCUCUUCUCUGCAGAGAAAUUCCUGGGAUACCACUUUGAACCCUCUCAGUGGUUGCCUUGUAAGAAUUGGGCUCUGUAAAUUAAAAAGCAAACAGAUAAGUUUUCUAUUGCAGUAAUGCAACACAGUCCUGACGCUAAUAAAUCAGUGUACAGAUCCUACAAGUUAAGGGCUCAGCCUUCAACGAGACCACCCACACUUCAGAUAUCAGCUACAAGCUCUGAGAGCUCUGAGCUCACCUGUCCUUCUGACAAACUGCCUACAAUUUUGGGAGUUUCCACUACUACUUUAAGCUCAAUAAUUCACUGGAAAGAAUCACAAAUUUCAGGAAAAAGCUACACUUUUCAUUAUAACUUUAUUAUAAUGGAAACAAAUCAGCCAAAUGAGGAAGUGUGGAGAACAAGGUCUUAGAGAGACCCCAGCAUGGAGCUUCUGUGCUUUGUCUUUAUGGAAUCAGGACACGUUGCCCUCCCAACACUCUGAUGUAUUCACUGACCAGGGAGCUCAACUGAAUUCUGGUGUCCAGAGUUUUCAUUGUGGUUUCAUUAUUUAUGUAAGAUUGCUUGACUCAUUGGCUAUGUGAUCUUAAUCUCCAGCCCUUCUCUUAGCUGGUAUCAUAUGGCCUCAUCCCUCAACUCAUGGUUGAUCUUAACAGCAUAGCUAGCCUCCUCCUGAAACUAGGGAUUCAUCAAGAGUCAUUUCAUUAGCAUAAAUACCAAGGUCUACCAUGAAUAGCAAAGAUCAUUCUGUAAUUCGAGAAAUUCCGAUGAUUAAAGACCUCCAUCUCAGAGUCUGAGAUAAAUGCUGGGCUAACUCUUCAUUAUACAUACAGAAAAUUUUCUUUCAAAUGAUUAAGAGGAAGGUUAAGGACAUAAGCAUGUCUAAUUUUUUAGUGGUUCUUGGACACAUUCAAAUACAUUAUUUCAUUUUAUCCUAAUGACCCUCCUAUGAGGAAAAUAUCAUUGAUGUAUUUGUUUUAUAGAUGGGUAAAAGAGGUUUAAUGAUGACAUUAUAUAGGAACAUCCAAAUAGUGGAUGUUGGAUGUUAAUAAUUGACGUGGAGUUUAGAUCUGUUAAUUAUAAGUCUUUGGCAUAUAUAAGAAUAGUCAAAGGGCUAAUAAUAGAGAUAGGGAUGCUCUAAAUACUAAUUUUUCUUAUCUGAAAAUGCAGAAUAGGAAUGGGCUUUCCCAGGAUAGGAUAGUAAAGGAGAAAUGUGAAGAUUUGGGAGUUAGUCUUCUUCCUAAUUUGGCAACUGACUCCUUUCCUGGUUUUCAUGUGUUUAUUUAGGAAAAGGUUAUGUAUCACUUGUAGUGCUUGUUAUAAGCAUUGAAACUACAGAAAGAAAGAGACACAGUUCCCAGGCUUAUUUGAUGGGAGCAAAGACCGUGAACAACGUAUUGUAAUAUGAGAUGGUUAAUGAAAUAAUCAAGGAAAGCACUUAGGACUGGCACCCAACUAGGAAAAAGGGGUGGUGGAUAAGUGCAGCACAGAAAGUUUGGAAGAGAGAAUGCAGAAACUGAAGCUUAGAAAUAAAUAGGAAUUAACCAGGCUUCCUGUUCCAUAGGUGAAUGGAAAGGGGAGCUGGGCUCUUUGGACUUCAGUCUAGGAGACUAAUGCAUACUAAUGAUGCCUCCAAGGCUAGCACUCUGCAGGUUCCUGUUCUGUUUGCAUUUGCCUACUGUGGCUAAAGUCUGCACAGGAUGCAUGGAGUCACCCCAGAACAGGGGAUUGGGGCAUGAAGCUGCAGACCUCAGGAAUAGCAAGAAUAUAUAUGUCUUAGGGGCUCCUUCAAGUUUUUUCAUUUGUGAAAUGAUGAUAUCGGGCUUUCUUAGACAAUCCCUGGGGUCCCUUCUGGCUCUAACAUUUCAUUAUUUUGAGGUUUUAUGAAAAAUGUUUUGCAGAGCAAAUGAAUAGUGUAAACAAGAUUAUAAAGAGAAUAUUUGCCUUCUUAAGGGACUAAACUGUUCUGAAAUACAUCAGGAGCAUUCAUUUGCAUAUAAACAACUCAAAUUCUAUAUAAGCAGAGGAGGCUUAUUUUCUUAGGUGUUUUGGUAAAUUAAUUACAAAUCAUUCUUAUCAAUUUUGCUAGUCUAUGUCUAUUAAGAAGUAAGCUGCAUUCAUUUUAAAUACCCUGUACUUUUGAAUGUUCUUCAUUUCUGUCUAUAAUACCUGACUUUUCUCUGAAUUAGCCCAAUUAUCUUCAAGUAUAUCUUUAUCCCUUAGGUUAUAGUAUAUAGGAUUUGUUUGUUCAAGAACUUAUAUAGAUUCACCUUGUGCUUAUUAGAAAUCAGAGAUGUCAGCUGAUCCCAUCCCACCUUCAGUUCAUCUUGAACUGACAUAGGACUACAUGUUAAGGGUGAAAGCCAGGCCUUCACUUUAAACUCUCAAUGCCUUAUGUUCUUUCUGCAUCUUUCUCCCCUUAUGCAUUUGAUUGUGUCUUCCUCCUACCCUGCCCCUGUAUCAAUUAGACUACAUAGAAUUACACUAAAAACUAAUACUUUGCCAAAAAUUAUUUGUUUAGACAACUAUUUAAGAUUUGUGCAUCGUUCAGAGAGAGCACUGUACACAGUACAACACCACCUGCCUGGCUUCACUGUCUCUCUGUCUCAUUCCCUGCUCUCACAGUCUUUUUCUCUUCUUUUUGUUCCCCAAACCCUUCAAUCUCCUGACAUACAACCUUCCUGGAAACAGAACACCAGAACCCUUGUCUUUAACCCAGAAAUUUAGUGAUCACUUCCUGCAGCUUUUGGCUAUUAAGGUUUUGUUCUCCAUUCCCAAGUGUCUACUGAAAACAUCCCAAGUACAUUUUGUGGUGUCAGGGUGAAUUCAGAAAAGGAUACGUGGAAGAGGCAUGCUUCCACACAGAAUGAGAGGAUGUGGGCAAGGGAAGGGAGCAGAGGUGAGUUUCCAGACAGAAAGAAGAGUCUGUGCAAACUGAAACAGUACAGGAGAACAUGGCAGGUUUAGGAACCUCAAGUAAUUCUCUGGAGUCAUGGAGAUGUAGGGUAAUCCUGAAAGGUUCACUUACAGUAGAUGGCACUAGAGAAAAAGGCAGCAAUCACAUCAUCAAUGACCUUUGUGUAUUGUGCAAAGAUAUUUUAUUUUCUCCAGGAGGUGUUGGGCUGCCGGCAUAGCACUGAACCUCUAGUAUGAUGGUUGCAAAGGUGCCAGAUAAAAGACUAGUACAAAUGUCAAGAGCCUGGAAUAAGGUAUGGGUCACUGGAUGCAGAGGAAAUAGCAUAUUCAAGAGUCAAACCAGUCUAGGCAAAAUCUAAAUUUCUGCCUUUAAGAUAGGGAAUACAGGGGUAGGAGGAGGGGUACAGAAUAGAAAGUAGAAGAUAUAAUUUCACUUGGUUUAUCAUUGGUACUAUUUUGAUAAAUUGAGCAAAGGUGUUAAUUUCUUGGUAUCAUUCACUUUCAAGUGACAGAUUGAAUAAUGUCAAAGUCAUGACUGUUUAGCAACAUGGUUGUGGAAAAUGUCUGUGACUCCUCUGCAUCUAACAAAUUUAUCCUUAUCAUUUCAUUUGAGCCAUAGACAUGGUGGUUUUUGGUUUGUUUGUGACUGUGAACUUACUAUCUGGCUAUCAGAAGCUAGACUUUCUAAUAACUGAGAGUGCUCUGCUUUAUUUUUUAAUUGAUUUAUUGGACAAUUUCAAUUUAGUGUGUGACAAAUAAAUCAUUAAACUUCUCUCUAGCUACUCCCUGCGAACACAUGGUGGUCAAAUCUCUUUUUCUGUACUUCUUCACCUUGAUAAUGUCUCAGGAAGAUUGUGUAUAUUUCUUGGCAUUUUUGAGGGUGAGAUCACUUUCAGUAGUUUAACCUGUCUGCAUAAAGACUUCUGUCUGAUACCCAGCUCAGAGCAUCACCCCUCUUGUAGGUCAUUGUAAGUCAGGGUGUAGAAAAGAGAGGAUAGUGGAAAGAAGAGGAAUUUUUGGUACUUAACUGGUUUUGCAGGUGUGAUUCUCAUCUGACUUGUCCUGCAGGCCAUCACAUCCCUGUAGGGCUAGAGCUCCAGUGGGGUCUGGAGUUCACAGAAAUUAGAUGCAGCUCCAUAAUUCCCUGACACGGAAACUUCUCUUUUAGUGGAAUGUUGGUAUCCAUUCAAAAUGGCUCUAUUUUUUUUCUAAUUACAUUCCAUGAUACUAAUAAAGUCUCUCUUAACAUCUAGUUACUUUUUUUUGGUAAAUAUGCAAAAAUGAAACAGAGGUCACGUGGGCAUAAUGUUUAUUGUUAUAUAGAACAUUUGGUGGAUGGACUAUGUGACUGGCGUAUAUAGGAUGCAGCUGAAAUUGUACCUGUCAAUCAAAUCAGAUUUAAGACUUAGAGAACAAAGAUUGUCCCUUACUGCAAAUAGAAACAAUAUAACAAUUUUUUUCUCAUGCUUUUCUUCAAUUUUCUAUUUAAAGAAAUUUCUGAGAAUACAUGAAUUAUGCAGUUUAUCUCUCAGAUGAAAAAGAAUUUUCCUCUUAGAUUGGAUGGCUGCAUAUUUAUUAAUAGCUAUAAAAUUUUCCAUGUUCUUUUGUUUCAAAUGGAAUGCUGACUAAAAUCUGAAGGAUCCAUUCCAGCAAUGAUAACAGUAAUGCAUGAAUAAUUAUAAAAGCUAUAUGGAAUUGAAAGGUAUUUUAAUUUGUCAUUACUUCUAUGUGUUCAGAAAGGAUCCAAAUAAUUAUGCUGACUAUAAAAAGGAAACCAAUGAUAUUUUCACUCAUUAUGGGAUUAAGUUCUUAAAAUACCACAUUUACUAUAAGUUGAAAAAAAAAAAACCUCUCAUCUAGUCUCAUCUAAUGAUGUAAUCAUGACUGAAGACAGCUCAGCUGAGGAUUCAUUUGGUCUUUUUACUAUGACACAGAGGUGCUAUGCUUCAAGCUCAUUUUAAUUUGAGAAGUGUUCAUCUUUGCAGUUUAUAAAAGUGAAAUUAUACUUGUUUGCUCAGUGUGAACUUCCAACCUUUGUGUCACAUUAAUUCAUGAAGAUGAGAAUGACUGUAGAAUUUCCUUAGGUCAUGACCGGAUGGUGGUGGAAACUGAAUGUGAGAUUUUUAAAACAGAAUUUUUCUCUUUAUAGCAACUAUUACAAAAUGGCUGUGCUUACCUGGAUCAUUCCAAGGCAAAAUUUCAAAGCUAUUUUUUUUUAAAUGCUUAUAGUCUUCAUUUUCUUUUGGUCUUCAUUCUACCAACAACAUUCAAAUUCUUAUUCAGAUCCUAGAAUAUUCUAUGACAGCACUUUUCUUGGAAAAUGAGAUUUCAAGAUAUGCUGUAUGUUUCUAGGUGAGUCAAUAGACUUUUCCUUUGUAGCUUUUGAACUUUGAGUUAUUAGAUUUCUAUUAAGGCAUUGGAUCUUAGUGAUGAGGGACACGAAAGUCUACAAAAGGGUUCUAACCCACUCUAGCACUUGCACCACACUCUUCCCUAAAAUAUGGCCUUAAGGCUCACAGUCAGCUACUAGAAGACACUAUUUUGACAGCCUUGUUUCAGUCAGAACACAUCACUACCAUGAGCGAAAUCCCCUGUACAUUAAUGUCAAACAAAGCUCUGUUGCCCCCUAAUUUGGUUUUAUUUUUCAGGAUUCAGAUUCUGUCUCUAACAGCUGUAUGAUUAUAUGCUAUUGAGUUAGCUAAUUUAAGCCUUAGUCUUCUCACCUUCAAAAAGAGGAAGUGGCACUCAGCUUAAAGGAGUUGUGGGGAUUAAGUCAUGAUGUAGAAUAAAUAUGAAAUGACUGACACAUAGUAGGUAUGUAAUAAAUGGUAGCAUCUUCUAAACAGAAAGAAAGAAAAGUAAUUAAAAUCCUUUAAAAUCAAUACUUUUUUGAGAAAAAAUCCAGAAACAUUUUUUUCCCUAUUAACAGAAAAUUCUGAAUGAAUGGAGAAGGAAGCCAAUGUUACUUUGAAAUAUAAGUGUUAACAACAUUGUUCUCUGCUCUGAACAAUUUGUUACAUUGUUAUAUCUGAAAAUUAAAGAUAGAUAUAUGCAGCAUGCCAUAAGUAAAAAUAAAUUUAUUAUUUUUAUGUUUGGAACAUUUGGAAUGAAUUUAGUGUCUGGACCGGCCAUGUAGAGGUAUAAAUUUUCUUCUACAUACAUGGAAAUAGCAUUGGUAAUUGAGUUAUUAUACACACAAGGUUAUUUAACACCUAAAAGAUUCACUGUAUAAAUUCAGCUUUAUCGAAAUUUGAUGGUGGAAAUAAUGUGGAGGUGGAGGUGGGUGGAGGCAGGCAGAGAGAAGAGAGGGGCAUUGGAAUAUGUAAUAUGAAAGAAGGUAAGACUGUGUUCCUUUCUGUCUUAUAGCCUGAAGAAUAAGUAGUGAAAACAUCAAUCAAGAGAUUUUAAAAAUGCCAGCAUUUCUCUGCUGUGGAGAAUCGCUUAUCAACCAUUAGAGGAGGAUCCCUUCUUGAACAAUGAACAUUUCUUAUGAGGAUUCACAGAUUAACAUAUGACUAAUCUUGAUUUUGGAAAGUGAAUGAGAUUUCUUUCUUUCCUUUUUUUUAAGUUUUGUGAUUUCCUCAGAGUAUAAAUAUUCUAUGAAAUCCUUGAUGAUUGUGAUGUAAAUCACUUCUAUCCAGAAAUAAACAUUCUUUUGUCAUCAUGUUGAACAUAAUCGGUGGCAACAUGCACAAAUCUGAACAAAUCAUUAUUAGUAGAAGAUAUAUAAUGGAGAAAUACCAGUCCUUCACCUUCAAACACGUGAGCCAGGCUUGCCAUCUGAAUGAGAGCAAGGAGGAUGAAUAAAGGAAGAAUCUUUAUCCUUUUCUUCUGAUCACUCCAAGGAUGGUUUCUCAAGGUGAAGCCAAGUCUUCUGCAAGCUGCCAAAUAGUAGCUUAGGAAAAGAAUUAGUUUGCUUGCAUGAUGAUCCUCUUAGGCAAAAAUGACUUCACAGCAGUUCACCUUGGUAAAAUCUUUUACUGAAGGCAUCCAAAAAAAAAUCAUGUACCCCAGAAUGAGAUGGAAAUUUGCAUUUCUUAUGAAGCUGGCCUGAAUUGUGGGUAUUAAUUUGGGGUACUGAUGAUCUGAAAUGAAGUAAAGAAAUCCUGAUGAAACAGCAGCCUUGGGUAGGACAAGGUCCCCUAUUUCUUCUGUUUCUCAUCGAAGUCCUGUUGCUGAGCCAAGAGUCCAUCACUUUGGGAAGAACACCACUGGAUAGAAUGACUGGAAAAAUCACCCCUCUAUGAUGGGGAACAUCUCUGAGUACAAAUCAUAAAGUUCUUUCUCCAGGUUUCAUUCCCCAUGGUGACCAGAAGUGGUGUCUUGCAGGCUGGCUACAAGCCAGGACAUUUGAGUUUCUAUUCAGGAUGCUAUCAGGCUCCAGCUGGAAUCUGGCCAGGGCUGCCCUUUGCACCUUGUGACCCACAGGUGGUUGAUCUCCAGGUGGGCAUCCUUUGUUUUCUGCGGAGAGCCAAGGUGGUUAUAACUCAGUGAGCAAUAAAUGAAAUGACACAGAAA
Marmota monax (woodchuck) is the source of this 8534-nucleotide long non-coding RNA. RefSeq lists it as uncharacterized. The transcript is spliced from 2 exons. The record is from RefSeq and is a predicted model, not a curated record. Lineage: Eukaryota; Metazoa; Chordata; Mammalia; Rodentia; Sciuridae.